AGAGUUUGAUCAUGGCUCAGGAUGAACGCUAGCUACAGGCUUAACACAUGCAAGUCGAGGGGCAGCAUUUCAGUUUGCUUGCAAACUGGAGAUGGCGACCGGCGCACGGGUGAGUAACACGUAUCCAACCUGCCGAUAACUCGGGGAGUAGCCUUUCGAAAGAAAGAUUAAUACCCGAUGGUAUAAUCAGACCGCAUGGUCUUGUUAUUAAAGAAAUUUCGGUUAUCGAUGGGGAGUGCGUUCCAUUAGGCAGUUGGUGAGGUAACGGCUCACCAAACCUUCGAUGGAUAGGGGUUCUGAGAGGAAGGUCCCCCACAUUGGAACUGAGACACGGUCCAAACUCCUACGGGAGGCAGCA
This 358-nucleotide ribosomal RNA is filed under the name uncultured bacterium. RNAcentral's name for it is "bacterial SSU rRNA". It matches the Rfam family "Bacterial small subunit ribosomal RNA", at positions 8 to 353 of the family's 1533-position model. The record is from RNAcentral.